Molecule: non-coding RNA, 159 nt
Organism: Arvicanthis niloticus (Nile rat)
Lineage: Eukaryota; Metazoa; Chordata; Mammalia; Rodentia; Muridae
Source: RefSeq, a predicted model, not a curated record
GUAUUUUCCUAGCAGGGGACAUGUCUUGGUUAUGAUGGUAGUUUUCCCAGGGCAAGGUUUAUCUCGUACACUAGAUGUGCUGACCCCAAAGAUUUCCUCAAAUUCAGGGAACUUGACUACAUAAUUGGGAUAGUGGGGGAUUGCAUUUGAGCUCUCUGA